This 256-nucleotide ribosomal RNA is filed under the name uncultured bacterium. RNAcentral's name for it is "partial 16S ribosomal RNA". It matches the Rfam family "Bacterial small subunit ribosomal RNA", at positions 521 to 776 of the family's 1533-position model. The record is from RNAcentral.
UAAUACGAAGGGAGCUAGCGUUGUUCGGAAUCACUGGGCGUAAAGCGCACGUAGGCGGAUGUGUCAGUCAGGGGUGAAAUCCCGGAGCUCAACUUCGGAACUGCCCUUGAUACAGCACGUCUUGAGUCCGAGAGAGGUGGAUGGAAUUCCUAGUGUAGAGGUGAAAUUCGUAGAUAUUAGGAAGAACACCGGUGGCGAAGGCGGUCCACUGGCUCGGUACUGACGCUGAGGUGCGAAAGCGUGGGGAGCAAACAGG